UAGCUACUCCCUCCGUUCGGAAUUACUUGUCGCAGAAAUAGAUGUAUCUAGACAUAUUUUAAUUCUAGAUACAUCCAUUUCCGAGACAAGUAAUUCCGAACGAACAGAGUAAGUU
Non-coding RNA from Triticum aestivum (bread wheat), 115 nucleotides. Lineage: Eukaryota; Viridiplantae; Streptophyta; Magnoliopsida; Poales; Poaceae. The record is from Rfam.